RNAcentral lists this non-coding RNA (29 nucleotides) under Rattus norvegicus (Norway rat). Lineage: Eukaryota; Metazoa; Chordata; Mammalia; Rodentia; Muridae. The record is from RNAcentral.
UAUCAGACGAGAUAGGAGUGGUUCUCUGA